Non-coding RNA from Pragia fontium, 77 nucleotides. Lineage: Bacteria; Pseudomonadati; Pseudomonadota; Gammaproteobacteria; Enterobacterales; Budviciaceae. The record is from Rfam.
UAUUGUUAACGGAACUUGGCACGGGCGUUGAGGAAACUCUACGCCCGUGUACGCAUAUAUAGGGUAAAGUCCACAGA